GACGAACGCUGGCGGUAUGCUUAACACAUGCAAGUCGAACGAGAAGUCUUUUAUUGACCCUUCGGGGGAUAUAAGAGACAGACAGUGGCGAACGGGUGAGUAACGCGUGGGCAACCUACCUAUCGGAGCGGGAUAGCCUCGAGAAAUCGGGAGUAAAACCGCAUAACACGGAUAUAUCGCAUGAUGAAUCCGUCAAAACUCCGGUGCCGAUAGAUGGGCCCGCGUCUGAUUAGCUAGUUGGUAAGGUAAGGGCUUACCAAGGCAACGAUCAGUAGCCGGUCUGAGAGGGCGAACGGCCACACUGGAACUGAGACACGGUCCAGACUCCUACGGGAGGCAGCAGUGGGGAAUAUUGCGCAAUGGGGGCAACCCUGACGCAGCAAUACCGCGUGAGUGAAGAAGGUUUUCGGAUCGUAAAGCUCUGUUAUUGGGGAAGAAGCAGUGACGGUACCCAAUGAG
This 459-nucleotide ribosomal RNA is filed under the name Pseudoramibacter alactolyticus. RNAcentral's name for it is "bacterial SSU rRNA". It matches the Rfam family "Bacterial small subunit ribosomal RNA", at positions 28 to 486 of the family's 1533-position model. Lineage: Bacteria; Bacillati; Bacillota; Clostridia; Eubacteriales; Eubacteriaceae. The record is from RNAcentral.